Molecule: ribosomal RNA, 645 nt
Filed under: uncultured Actinomycetes bacterium
Lineage: Bacteria; Bacillati; Actinomycetota; Actinomycetes
Description: bacterial SSU rRNA
Rfam family: Bacterial small subunit ribosomal RNA
Source: RNAcentral
CGCGGCCUAUCAGCUUGUUGGUGGGGUAAUGGCCCACCAAGGCGACGACGGGUAGCCGGCCUGAGAGGGUGACCGGCCACACUGGGACUGAGACACGGCCCAGACUCCUACGGGAGGCAGCAGUGGGGAAUAUUGCACAAUGGGCGAAAGCCUGAUGCAGCGACGCCGCGUGAGGGAUGACGGCCUUCGGGUUGUAAACCUCUUUCAGCUCUGACGAAGCUUUAUUGUGACGGUAGGAGCAGAAGAAGCACCGGCUAACUACGUGCCAGCAGCCGCGGUAAUACGUAGGGUGCGAGCGUUGUCCGGAAUUAUUGGGCGUAAAGAGCUUGUAGGCGGCUCGUCGCGUCUGCUGUGAAAUCCCGGGGCUCAACCUCGGGCUUGCAGUGGGUACGGGCAGGCUAGAGUAUGGUAGGGGAGACUGGAAUUCCUGGUGUAGCGGUGGAAUGCGCAGAUAUCAGGAGGAACACCGAUGGCGAAGGCAGGUCUCUGGGCCAUCACUGACGCUGAGAAGCGAAAGCGUGGGGAGCGAACAGGAUUAGAUACCCUGGUAGUCCACGCCGUAAACGUUGGGCGCUAGGUGUGGGUCCCAUUCCACGGGGUCCGUGCCGCAGCUAACGCAUUAAGCGCCCCGCCUGGGGAGUACGG